Molecule: ribosomal RNA, 241 nt
Filed under: uncultured Lactobacillus sp.
Lineage: Bacteria; Bacillati; Bacillota; Bacilli; Lactobacillales; Lactobacillaceae
Description: partial 16S ribosomal RNA
Rfam family: Bacterial small subunit ribosomal RNA
Source: RNAcentral
UAACCUGCCCAAGAGAUCGGGAUAACACCUGGAAACAGAUGCUAAUACCGGAUAACAACAGAUGAUGCCUAUCAACUGUUUAAAAGAUGGUUCUGCUAUCACUCUUGGAUGGACCUGCGGUGCAUUAGCUAGUUGGUAGGGUAACGGCCUACCAAAGGCGAUGAUGCAUAGCCGAGUUGAGAGACUGAUCGGCCACAUUGGGACUGAGACACGGCCCAAACUCCUACGGGAGGCAGCAGAU